AGAGUUUGAUCAUGGCUCAGAACGAACGCUGGCGGCAUGCCUAACACAUGCAAGUCGAACGAAGCCUUCGGGCUUAGUGGCGCACGGGUGCGUAACGCGUGGGAAUCUGCCCUUGGGUUCGGAAUAACAGUUAGAAAUGACUGCUAAUACCGGAUGAUGACGAAAGUCCAAAGAUUUAUCGCCCAAGGAUGAGCCCGCGUAGGAUUAGGUAGUUGGUGGGGUAAUGGCCUACCAAGCCGACGAUCCUUAGCUGGUCUGAGAGGAUGAUCAGCCACACUGGGACUGAGACACGGCCCAGACUCCUACGGGAGGCAGCAGUGGGGAAUAUUGGACAAUGGGCGAAAGCCUGAUCCAGCAAUGCCGCGUGAGUGAUGAAGGCCCUCGGGUCGUAAAGCUCUUUUACCAGGGAUGAUAAUGACAGUACCUGGAGAAUAAGCUCCGGCUAACUCCGUGCCAGCCGCCGCGGUAUAC
This 471-nucleotide ribosomal RNA is filed under the name uncultured bacterium. RNAcentral's name for it is "bacterial SSU rRNA". It matches the Rfam family "Bacterial small subunit ribosomal RNA", at positions 8 to 526 of the family's 1533-position model. The record is from RNAcentral.